Molecule: ribosomal RNA, 241 nt
Filed under: Providencia sneebia
Lineage: Bacteria; Pseudomonadati; Pseudomonadota; Gammaproteobacteria; Enterobacterales; Morganellaceae
Description: partial 16S ribosomal RNA
Source: RNAcentral
CCCAUGGUGUGACGGGCGGUGUGUACAAGGCCCGGGAACGUAUUCACCGUAGCAUUCUGAUCUACGAUUACUAGCGAUUCCGACUUCAUGGAGUCGAGUUGCAGACUCCAAUCCGGACUACGACGUACUUUAUGAGUUCCGCUUGCUCUCGCGAGGUCGCUUCUCUUUGUAUACGCCAUUGUAGCACGUGUGUAGCCCUACUCGUAAGGGCCAUGAUGACUUGACGUCAUCCCCACCUUCC